This 21-nucleotide non-coding RNA is filed under the name Caenorhabditis elegans. The record is from RNAcentral. Lineage: Eukaryota; Metazoa; Nematoda; Chromadorea; Rhabditida; Rhabditidae.
UUCUCCAGUUGACUCUAUUUC